GGACGAAGCCACUCGGGUUAAUAGCCCAGAGGGUGACGGUACCUCCAGAAGAAGCCCCGGCUAACUACGUGCCAGCAGCCGCGGUAAUACGUAGGGGGCAAGCGUUGUCCGGAUUUAUUGGGCGUAAAGCGCGUGUAGGCGGCCAGGUAGGUCGGCUGUGAAAACUCGAGGCUCAACCUCGAGAUGUCGGCCGAAACCAUCUGGCUAGAGUCCGGAAGAGGAGAAUGGAAUUCCCGGUGUAGCGGUGAAAUGCGCAGAUAUCGGGAAGAACACCCGUGGCGAAGGCGGUUCUCUGGGACGGUACUGACGCUGAGACGCGAAAGCGUGGGGAGCGAACAGGAUUAGAUACCCUGGUAGUCCACGCCGUAAACGAUGGGAACUAGGUGUGGGCGGUGUCGACUCCGUCCGUGCCGAAGCUAACGCAUUAAGUUCCCCGCCUGGGGAGUACGGCCGCAAGGCUAAAACUCAAAGGAAUUGACGGGGGCCCGCACAAGCAGCGGAGCAUGUGGUUUAAUUCGACGCAACGCGAAGAACCUUACCAGGGCUUGACAUGCACUGGAAUGUCGUAGAAAUACGGCAGCCCUUCGGGGCCAGUGCACAGGUGGUGCAUGGCUGUCGUC
RNAcentral lists this ribosomal RNA (620 nucleotides) under uncultured bacterium. Its description in RNAcentral is "bacterial SSU rRNA". It matches the Rfam family "Bacterial small subunit ribosomal RNA", at positions 443 to 1056 of the family's 1533-position model. The record is from RNAcentral.